Molecule: ribosomal RNA, 492 nt
Filed under: uncultured bacterium
Lineage: Bacteria
Description: partial 16S ribosomal RNA
Rfam family: Bacterial small subunit ribosomal RNA
Source: RNAcentral
AGUGAACGCUGGCGGUAGGCCUAACACAUGCAAGUCGAACGGCAGCACAGUAAGAGCUUGCUCUUACGGGUGGCGAGUGGCGGACGGGUGAGGAAUACAUCGGAAUCUACUUUUUCGUGGGGGAUAACGUAGGGAAACUUACGCUAAUACCGCAUACGACCUACGGGUGAAAGCAGGGGAUCUUCGGACCUUUCGCGAUUGAAUGAGCCGAUGUCGGAUUAGCUAGUUGGCGGGGUAAAGGCCCACCAAGGCAACGAUUCGUAGCGGAUCUGAGAGGAUGAUCGGCCACACUGGAACGGAGACACGGUCCAGACUCCUAGGGGAGGAAGCAGUGGGGAAUGUUGGACAAUGGGCGAAAGCCUGACAGAGCAACGCCGCGGGAGUGAAGAAGGUCUUGGGGUUGUAAAACUCUUUUAUGGGGGAAGAAAAAAAGUGGAAGUAACCCCGCAUGUCUUGACGGUACCAAAAAAGAAAGCACCGGCUAACUACGUG